This 598-nucleotide long non-coding RNA is filed under the name Volvox carteri. Its description in RNAcentral is "long non-coding RNA (VCAR_LNC001274)". Lineage: Eukaryota; Viridiplantae; Chlorophyta; Chlorophyceae; Chlamydomonadales; Volvocaceae. The record is from RNAcentral.
AAGGGGCUGAUGGCGGGGGCCUUGUAAGCAGCCAGGAUGCUUUCACUGCAGGCACCAACAUAACAUAGGUAAAGCAUGCAGCCCCACUGUCGUACAGUCACAUACAUAUACACGGACAUACAUACACAUUCACGGACUUACCCCUGAAGGUCUGUAGAGUCCUGAUUGUGCUCUCAAAACUCCUUUGUCAUUCCCAGCAGGAUGUGCAUCCUUUAAUGAUGAGCGAUAUGUGGAACAGGGGAAUAUAUCUUCACCCGUGGCAGCUACCCUGCGAAACCCUGCCUUCCCCGGUAUUUCAGGGCACCCUUAUCCAGUCACCCUACUCAACUUCUCAGUGGAUUGACAGCAGUGUCGACAGCAGCCCAACUCCAUUCCUGGUCGGCUCGCAGAUUAAUAUGAUCCCAGGCCAUCAAUGAACUAGGGACGCAAUACCUUUCACAGUUGAAAGGAUUUUUGACCUUGAUUGGUCUUCAUCCCGGGGUCUCUCAGGGGCAAUGGCCGCGUGUUACCAGUAGUGCAUAACCUAUACAAGUACUUGUUGUAUUAUCGCCUAACCUAUACACUUACAUGUUGUAUUAAGUUGUAUUAUACCUUCACC